Molecule: ribosomal RNA, 450 nt
Filed under: uncultured bacterium
Lineage: Bacteria
Description: partial 16S ribosomal RNA
Rfam family: Bacterial small subunit ribosomal RNA
Source: RNAcentral
GUGGGGAAUUUUGGACAAUGGGCGCAAGCCUGAUCCAGCAAUGCCGCGUGCAGGAAGAAGGCCUUCGGGUUGUAAACUGCUUUUGUACGGAACGAAACGGUCCUGGUUAAUACCCGGGGCUAAUGACGGUACCGUAAGAAUAAGCACCGGCUAACUACGUGCCAGCAGCCGCGGUAAUACGUAGGGUGCAAGCGUUAAUCGGAAUUACUGGGCGUAAAGCGUGCGCAGGCGGUGCUGUAAGACAGGCGUGAAAUCCCCGGGCUUAACCUGGGAAUUGCGCUUGUGACUGCAGGGCUGGAGUGCGGCAGAGGGGGAUGGAAUUCCGCGUGUAGCAGUGAAAUGCGUAGAUAUGCGGAGGAACACCGAUGGCGAAGGCAAUCCCCUGGGCCUGCACUGACGCUCAUGCACGAAAGCGUGGGGAGCAAACAGGAUUAGAAACCCCUGUAGUCC